RNAcentral lists this ribosomal RNA (440 nucleotides) under uncultured bacterium. Its description in RNAcentral is "partial 16S ribosomal RNA". It matches the Rfam family "Bacterial small subunit ribosomal RNA", at positions 338 to 795 of the family's 1533-position model. The record is from RNAcentral.
CCUACGGGUGGCAGCAGUGGGGAAUAUUGCACAAUGGGGGAAACGCUGAUGCAGCGACGCCGCGUGAGUGAAGAAGUAUUUCGGUACGUAAAGCUCUAUCAGCAGGGAAGAAAAUGACGGUACCUGACUAAGAAGCCCCGGCUAACGACGUACCAGCAGCCGCGGUAAUCCGUAGGGGGCAAGCGUUAUCCGGAUUUACUGGGUGUAAAGGGAGCGUAGACGGCAGCGCAAGUCUGGAGUGAAAUCCCAUGGCUUAACCAUGGAACUGCUUUGGAAACUGUGCAGCUAGAGUGCAGGAGAGGUAAGCGGAAUUCCUGGUGUAGCGGUGAAAUGCGUAGAUAUUAGGAGGAACCCCAGUGGCGAAGGCGGCUUACUGGACUGUAACUGACGUUGAGGCUCGAAAGCGUGGGGAGCAAACAGGAUUAGAUACCCCUGUAGUC